RNAcentral lists this transfer RNA (71 nucleotides) under Loxodonta africana (African savanna elephant). It matches the Rfam family "tRNA". From Rfam's summary of the family: Transfer RNA (tRNA) molecules are approximately 80 nucleotides in length. Their secondary structure includes four short double-helical elements and three loops (D, anti-codon, and T loops). The record is from Rfam by way of RNAcentral. Lineage: Eukaryota; Metazoa; Chordata; Mammalia; Proboscidea; Elephantidae.
GCAUUGGUGGUUCAGUGGUAGAAUUUUCACCUUUGAUACAGAAGACCCAGGUUUAAUUCCCUGCCAGUGCA